Cyprinus carpio (common carp) is the source of this 1452-nucleotide long non-coding RNA. NCBI's taxonomy places the organism in Eukaryota, Metazoa, Chordata, Actinopteri, Cypriniformes, Cyprinidae. The record is from Ensembl.
GGGAAGGAUAACGUUUUGGCGGAUGCUCUGUCAAGGUCGUAAGUGCUUGUGUUUGUCUAUUGUUUAUGUACUUGUUGACUUUGCCAUAGGUUAUUCUAUAACAAUGUUUUAAGGGUGGGAGUGUUUUAAUCUGUGUUUCAUUGCAGUUUCCCUGGUAACUCUCCUGCAAUUAACAGCUUAAUUGGAUCCACCUGAAGGGAGUCACUUUAAAUCUAGGACACAUGCACUUGCUCUCUCUCUCUCUCGUUUUGCAGCCAGCACUGCAGUAGCAGUGUUUCUGCUUCUCCAGUCCCCUUCUUUUUUUCCACUUUUGUUAUUAAAUAAACUUAUUUUGAUUGGCAUACUUUUGUUUUGUGUCCUUUGUUGCAUCCCUAGAGCCAGGGUUGUAACAACACACACACACACACUCAGCACAUCACACACACACUCUCCCCAUCAUACCUUGCGUGAGAGUCUGUGUCUGAUCUCUCUCUUCUCCUCCAUCUGCUCCUGUUCAUUACGAGCUGUGGGACAGGAGCAGGUCAGAGGUGUUGAGUUCACAUCAGCAGAUUCAAGACACAUACAAUGUUAAAGACUGAAGCAGAGCCCGUCUACGGAGAGCCUUCCCACUCCCUAUUAAGUCCUAUUGUACCGAAUUUUGGUUGCAGUUCCGCCAGAGUUCCACUGGGGGCGAUCACCAUGAGUACAAAAUGAAUGGGAGUCUAUGGGGCUAGACGGCUAAAUUUGUCCCUUUCACCCGAUUGCCGUUGAGAAAUCUCAGAUCUGAUUGUAGGUUUUGCAAGUUCAACAUGGGUUAUAGGUCGAAAGUUGAAUGAACGAGUACUUAUGUCCUUUCGAUUUCUUACUGGUUGAGUUGUUGCCCAUAACACGCUAGCAUUCUGCUAAUGAACGCAUAACGUAUGACAUCAUUGACAUUUUAAAAUACUUUUUAAAGCAAAUAAGUGACUCUAAAAAAUCUAACACCCAGCAAUGUGUAAUUUCUUUGCAUCUCCUUUCGAAUACAACAUUCAAAUUACUAGACAAAAAAUUAUAUCCUGAGAAAAGUGGAUUUUGAGGGGUAUACCGCCAUUGACCUCCAUUCAUUCUGCACUCGUCCUGUGAGCGCCCUCAUAUGGAAUCAGAGUGGAACUGCAACCAGUUCAGAAGCCGGAAGUGUAGUGGGAGUGAAACUUCUCGCCAUAUUAGACAUUCUCUGACUGAAGCAAGAUCACUGCACAUUACAGUCAACAUGAACUGAUGUCAUCCACGAGGAACAGGCUGCAUCAUGGGAAGUGGGCUUUGGUGUGUAAGUGUCUCUCUGGGUUCUGGACUCACGUUUGAGGAUGUUCCUCUGCUCCAGCUCUUCAGCCAUGGGCCUCUGACUCAGUCUCCUGUUCCACACACGCACACGCAGCAAAACAGACCAAAAUCUCAGAAACUGAGACACACGAGAGUCACAUUAAAGCUGCAAAC